CCAUAGCCCAGAUAGAAGGGAAAAUCCUUUUGUGCCGUCGUUCGGCAUAAAAGAUUGGAAUGAUAGCUGGAAAUAGC
Molecule: small RNA, 77 nt
Filed under: Flavobacterium sp. 9
Lineage: Bacteria; Pseudomonadati; Bacteroidota; Flavobacteriia; Flavobacteriales; Flavobacteriaceae
Description: Flavo-1 RNA
Rfam family: Flavo-1 RNA
Source: RNAcentral